This is a non-coding RNA of Nicotiana tabacum (common tobacco), 228 nucleotides long. The record is from RefSeq and is a predicted model, not a curated record. NCBI's taxonomy places the organism in Eukaryota, Viridiplantae, Streptophyta, Magnoliopsida, Solanales, Solanaceae.
GGGGGGAAAGACUCACGGCUGGGAAAAUAAGAAGAGACAACAUGAUUUUGCCAUUCUCCUUCCAUUGAAGAGCAUGACAGGAAUUCAACACACAGAAAACCAAUUAAAUAGAGAAGAAGAGAAAGAUUGAUUGAAGAAAGUCAUAUGGAUCGCUCGAGGUGACGAGUUUGAUAUUUCACACGAGUACUAGACAGCAGUUGACGCAAGGGAGAAUUUCGUUAAUUAGAG